Molecule: ribosomal RNA, 406 nt
Filed under: uncultured bacterium
Lineage: Bacteria
Description: partial 16S ribosomal RNA
Rfam family: Bacterial small subunit ribosomal RNA
Source: RNAcentral
AUUGAACGCUGGCGGCAGGCCUAACACAUGCAAGUCGAGCGAGCGGCGGACGGGUGAGUAAUGUCUGGGGAACUGCCUGAUGGAGGGGGAUAACUACUGGAAACGGUAGCUAAUACCGCAUACCAUCAGAUGUACCCAGAUGGGAUUAGCUAGUAGGUGGGGGAACGGCUCACCUAGGCGACGAUCCCUAGCUGGUCGGAGAGGAUGAUCAGCCACACUGGGACUGAGACACGGCCCAGACUCCGACGGGAGGCAGCAGUGGGGAAUAUUGCACAAUGGGCGCAAGCCUGAUGCAGCCAUGCCGAGUGUAUGAAGAAGGCCUUCGGGUUGUAAAGUACUUUCAGUCGGGAGGCGUUACCGACAGAAGAAGCACCGGCUAACUCCGUGCCAGCAGCCGCGGUAAUAC